This 1847-nucleotide long non-coding RNA is filed under the name Populus tremula. Its description in RNAcentral is "long non-coding RNA (PTRE_LNC002635)". Lineage: Eukaryota; Viridiplantae; Streptophyta; Magnoliopsida; Malpighiales; Salicaceae. The record is from RNAcentral.
UAAUUAAGUAGCUUAAGAUAAACAAAUUAACAAGGAGUGUGUGUGUGAAGCUAAGAAGAAAGAAUGGGAAGAGAGACUAGGUUUAUUUCAUGGAUUUGGUUUUUUUCAUGGAUACGUCCGUUACGGGGGCGCAACAUUGGCUUGCUUGAUCAACUAUAUGCAAUCCUAUCAAUAGUACUCAUGGACAAAGAUGGAGAGGAUAGACUAAUUUGGAAGGACAAUAAUUCAGGAAGAUUUUCAGUGAAAUCUCUCUGCGGAUUGUUGAGUCCAAAGCCUUCCACAAACAAUGCCUUCUCGUUUGCUGGAUUUUGGAAAGGUAUUGUCCCUCCUAAGGUAGAGAUCUUUUGCUGGAUGGCUAUCAUUAACAGACUCAACACCCGAUGUAUGUUGGUUCGAAGAGGUAUCUUGAGUAGCUCGGAAUCAAAUUGCCCUAUCUGCCUUGUUGAAGCAGAAUCGGUGGACCAUAUUCUGCUUCACUGCCAUAGGCAUUGGCUCAUUUGGUCCAAAAUCAUUAAAUGGUGGGGUUUAGUUUGGUGUUGCCCAAAGAGCUUCUCAGAUAUGUGGUCUCAAUGGUCUUCCAUGGUGCAUGGUAAUUUUCAAAGGAAGGCAUGGUUGAUGUUGUUCUUCUCAGUGGCAUGGUCUCUUUGGCUCCUUCGAAAUGAUCUCAUUUUCCAACAGAAGACACCUGAUUAUGACUCAAUUUUUUUUCUUAUUAUCACCCGUCUAUGUCUUUGGCUAAAAGCUAUCCAUUCAGAUUUUCCAUACUCCCCUACAGAUCUGAUCAGAUCGGCAGAUGGCUUGCUUCGGUGGUCCAAUGCUCACUCUUUCAGGAUUAAAAAUAUAUGGUCUCCUCCUAUGAUUAAUAGGCUCAAAUGGAAUGUGGAUGGCUCUUCUCUUGGUAAGCCAGGCCCCUCUGGAAUAGGUGGUGUGCUGUGAAAUCAUCAUGGCCAUGUGCUCGGUAUGUUCUCUGUUCCAGUUGGUAUUUUAGACUCUAAUAUUGCUGAGUUAAGGGCUAUUGUGAAAGCCAUUGAUCUAUCAGCAUCUAAUUGUCGUUUACACCAUCAACACCUCAUCAUUGAAUCUGACUCUGUCAAUGUUAUUCGCUGGAUGAAUAAUCCUCUCAGUCGUCCCUGGAAGCAUCAUAAUUUGUUCUCCUAUGUUAAUAGACUGAAAGCAUAUUUUGGUUCAAUCACCUUCUCUCAUAUCUUUCGUGAAAGUAAUUGCAUGGCAGAUGGCUUGGCUAAACAAUGAGUGCGGAGAUCAAGUGAAUUUGUUGCCCGGCUUUGAAUCCACCAUUUUUCUAUGGGCUUGCUAUUGUUUCUUCUCCCAUUAUGUCUUUGAGUAUUUUCUAUUUUGUUUUGUUGAGGAAUGUUUAGCUUCACCUCAUUUGGAUGGAUUUUGUAUGGUUUUCUUUGCUUUGGUUUAUCUUAAGUUGCGCUUUAUCCUUCAUAUGACUUUAUGUCAUAUUAAGAUAUUGUGUAACUUUUGUACUAUUCCCGUCAGACUUUGACGCUUAUAUAAUAUACACAUCUUUCAAAAAAACAAAAAACUAGGUUUAUUUCCAGGGCUUUGAGUUAGAGAGCAUAUAUUUAAUACAUUUAAGUUACAAAUUAAGUAACAAAAGGAAACUUAUUCAUCGUGGGGAACUUCAUAUUCUUCUGAUGAAAUGAUGAUGGGUGUGGAUUCGAGAUCAAAUAGCUGUCUUAAGUUAUAUGGAGCUGCGAUACUUGGUUUGCCAUUCCAAAACAGAUCAGCUAGAAUCCGAUAACCAUGCUCAGUAGGAUGCCAUCCAUCGAAGAACAGAUAUUCACUUGGAUUUUUGCAUAGCGUAUAUGGCUCUAUUCCAC